GAUGAAGAACGUAGCGAAAUGCGAUACGUAAUGUGAAUUGCAAAUUCAGUGAAUCAUCGAGUCUUUGAACGCACAUUGCGCCCCCUGGUAUUCCGGGGGGCAUGCCUGUCCGAGCGUCAUUGCUGCCCUCAAGCACGGCUUGUGUGUUGGGCCCCGUCCUCCGAUCCCGGGGGACGGGCCCGAAAGGCAGCGGCGGCACCGCGUCCGGUCCUCGAGCGUAUGGGGCUUUGUCACCCGCUCUGUAGGCCCGGCCGGCGCUUGCCGAUCAACCCAAAUUUUUAUCCAUGUUGACCUCGGAUCAGGUAGGGAUACCCGCUGAACUUAAGCAUAUCAAUAAGCGGAGGA
This 345-nucleotide unclassified non-coding RNA is filed under the name soil metagenome. Its description in RNAcentral is "partial contains 5.8S ribosomal RNA, internal transcribed spacer 2, and large subunit ribosomal RNA". The stretch from base 1 to 119 matches the Rfam family "5.8S ribosomal RNA", at positions 35 to 154 of the family's 154-position model. The record is from RNAcentral.